RNAcentral lists this ribosomal RNA (253 nucleotides) under uncultured bacterium. RNAcentral's name for it is "partial 16S ribosomal RNA". It matches the Rfam family "Bacterial small subunit ribosomal RNA", at positions 524 to 776 of the family's 1533-position model. The record is from RNAcentral.
UACGAAGGGGGCUAGCGUUGUUCGGAAUCACUGGGCGUAAAGCGCACGUAGGCGGACUUGUUAGUCAGGGGUGAAAUCCCGGGGCUCAACCCCGGAACUGCCUUUGAUACUGCAAGUCUUGAGUCCGAGAGAGGUGAGUGGAAUUCCUAGUGUAGAGGUGAAAUCCGUAGAUAUUAGGAAGAACACCAGUGGCGAAGGCGGCUCACUGGCUCGGUACUGACGCUGAGGUGCGAAAGCGUGGGAAGCAAACAGG